This is a long non-coding RNA of Sapajus apella (tufted capuchin), 1629 nucleotides long. RefSeq lists it as uncharacterized. The transcript has 2 exons. NCBI's taxonomy places the organism in Eukaryota, Metazoa, Chordata, Mammalia, Primates, Cebidae. The record is from RefSeq and is a predicted model, not a curated record.
UAGAGAUGGGGUUUCACUGUGUUGGCAAGGCUGGUCUUGAACUCCUGACCUCGUGAUCGACCCACCUCGGCCCCCCAAAGUGCUGGGAUUACAGGCGUGAGCCACUGCACCCAGCUAGGGUGCUUUAUUUGUAAAAGGAAGAUGUGGCUUGUGUUUAAAACACAAGUUUUAUUUUUAUGUAGGAGUAACUGGCUCGGGAGUCCCCUUUGAUUUUGGAUGUAACCCCUACAAAGGAAAGCGCCCUUUGAAAGACAGUUGGGUCGUACAAAAAUCAUCACAGCAGUGGUGACCCUUCAAGUGAUAGGUAUGUCAGGCAGUGGCAGUGUCAGCGUCGGGAAGCCGGCCUCUGAAAUGCCACUGCGGGUCCAGAGCCGGCAGGAAGAGCUGGAACAGUUAGUUCCAGCUGUCCAGUCAGAAGGGACAGCAUUUCCCAAAAGCUGCUUUUCCUUGGACGUUUCAUAUUGCCAUGGCCAUCAUCCUAGGUGUGGCUGCUGUGCGUGAUCAUUGGUUCAGAGGUGUUUGCAUUUGCAAGGAGAGUGAAGAUCUCUCACAGGAGGACUCAGGAUAUUGCUGUGUGUACCCAAGGCCAGUCCUGUCCCUGAGAUUGGAUCUCCCUAAACACAGUUUCAGCCCAGAGUUCUUUAACAGUCCUUAAAAAGACUUUCUGCAUUCUAUUCAAUAACAGUUUCCUGAGCUAAUCAGCUCUAAUUACACUUAACUGUUCAGCAGUUCAGUGACUCUUAGAACACGGAUUUUUAAAUACCCAUGAACAUUUACUGGACACCACUGCUAACUAAUUACAGUGUGUAAGUCCAUUAUUUCCUGUUUCCUAUUGUUCUCUACAGACAGUGUUUAUGGAGUAAAUUUUUUUUUUCUCUAUUUUUGAGAUCCUUCAAGAGGACGUUCAGUAUUAAAAUGUUUCCAGUAAAGUUUCUACAUUUCCUCAAAUUCUGACAAUUGCUCCAUGUCACGAUUUGUGCUUUUCCUCCUCUCUUUGCUCUCCUCACCUUAACUCCAUUCUCCUUUCGGCUCCCAGGAGCUUGUUCGGCUGCUCCAGCAGACAGUCCAGUCAUCCCAGUAUGACAAGUAUUUCACUAGCAGCCGGCUCUGCGAGGGGGUCCCAAAGGACAUGCUUGAGCUUCUGCACCAAAAAGAUAAUCAGAUUCUGGGCCUCACCAGCCAGCUGGAGAGUCUCAACCUGGAGAAGGAGAGUCUUCAGCAGGAAGUGAGGAUGCUGAAGAGCAAGGUGGGCUAGCUCAAUGAGCAGCUAGGGAUACUGAUGGAGACUGUCCAAGCCAAGGACGGGGUCAUCAUCAAGCUCAGCAAGGGUGAUGGCAGCGGACCUCCUCCCACCACAGCACCCGGCUCCCCAUCGGCUGUGCCUAUUGGCAGGGACCAGCUGGAACUGGAAAGGCUGAAAGUAAGAGCAGGGCAGGGUUUCUGGUGAUUGGCAUGAGAGACCACUUAUGUCACCCUAGAGGCCUGGCCUCCGUGAGCUGAUUUGGUGUGAUGGCAGAACAGCUGCACACCUUUUUUUUCCACCCCCAAGUGUAAUAGCACUUACCAUCAAAUAAUCAUUAAUCUUCUGUGGAGCUUCCUUGGAAAAGGAAACUCUUGCUUUUGCUUGGA